ACUGUGCACAUCUUGACGGUACCUAAUCAGAAAGCCACGGCUAACUACGUGCCAGCAGCCGAGGUAAUACGUAGGUGGCAACCGUUAGCCGGAAUUAUUGGGCGCAAAGCGCGCGUAGGCGGUUUUUUAAGUCUGAUGUGAAAGCCCACGGCUCAACCGUGGAGGGUCAUUGGAAACUGGAAAACUUGAGUGCAGAAGAGGAAAGUGGAAUUCCAUGUGUAGCGGUGAAAUGCGCAGAGAUAUGGAGGAACACCAGUGGCGAAGGCGACUUUCUGGUCUGUAACUGACGCUGAUGUGCGAAAGCGUGGGGAUCAAACAGGAUUAGAUACCCU
Molecule: ribosomal RNA, 332 nt
Filed under: Klebsiella oxytoca
Lineage: Bacteria; Pseudomonadati; Pseudomonadota; Gammaproteobacteria; Enterobacterales; Enterobacteriaceae
Description: bacterial SSU rRNA
Rfam family: Bacterial small subunit ribosomal RNA
Source: RNAcentral